Molecule: ribosomal RNA, 172 nt
Filed under: uncultured bacterium
Lineage: Bacteria
Description: partial 16S ribosomal RNA
Rfam family: Bacterial small subunit ribosomal RNA
Source: RNAcentral
ACUCCUACGGGAGGCAGCAGUGGGGAAUAUUGCACAAUGGGCGAAAGCCUGAUGCAGCGACGCCGCGUGAAGGAUGAAGUAUUUCGGUAUGUAAACUUCUAUCAGCAGGGAAGAAAAUGACGGUACCUGACUAAGAAGCCCCGGCUAACUACGUGCCAGCAGCCGCGGUAAU